UACAGAGGGGGCAAGCGUUAUUCGGAAUUAUUGGGCGUAAAGGGCGCGUAGGCGGCUUGGCAAGUGGAUGGUGAAAUCCCUCGGCUUAACCGAGGAACUGCCUUCCAGACUGCUUUGCUUGAGGCCGGGAGAGGUGAGUGGAAUUCCCAGUGUAGCGGUGAAAUGCGUAGAUAUUGGGAGGAACACCAGUGGCGAAGGCGAGUCUCUGGACAGUUCCUGACACUGAGGCACGAAAGCCAGGGGAGCAAACGGG
RNAcentral lists this ribosomal RNA (253 nucleotides) under uncultured bacterium. RNAcentral describes it as "partial 16S ribosomal RNA". It matches the Rfam family "Bacterial small subunit ribosomal RNA", at positions 524 to 776 of the family's 1533-position model. The record is from RNAcentral.